Molecule: long non-coding RNA, 1239 nt
Organism: Eubalaena glacialis (North Atlantic right whale)
Lineage: Eukaryota; Metazoa; Chordata; Mammalia; Artiodactyla; Balaenidae
Exons: 3
Source: RefSeq, a predicted model, not a curated record
CCAGGAGAAAGAUGAUGGCAGUUAAGGCUGAGGAGGAGGCGUGGAAAGGGAGAGACGCGCAUGGCCUUGAGACGUAUUCAUAAAACAGAACAGCAACGCGACUUGGAAAUGGUCCCGAAGGAGAGGAGGAUCCAAGGGCAGCUCGGAUGGCUCAAGCACCUGGCUGCAUAAAAGGAAUGCCUGCUCAGGGCAAGAAGAAUUCACACUGUGAGGUGGUGGGAACCCCUAGGAUCUUUCAUAACAAAGGGACUCAACGGUUCAGAGGGCUGGCGCUGGAUAGUGACCCCCUUCCAGAGUCCUGCCUUGAAGGACAGUUCUGCCUCUGGGGCUGGUUGGUUGGUUUCUCACAUGGGAGAUACCGGAGUGCGCCUGCGCAUUGAAGGGAUGGACCGGAGGGGAAUCCUGGGCCCAUGCCUGGGGCUUGGCCUGUACCCUGUGCCGGGAAAGGAGGCCUGUUCUCAGCAGAGCAGCCUGACGGAGCCUCUAAAACGUUCAGCGAGAUGACAUCACUCCUCCAUUUCAAACUCUGCAGUGACUGCUCACAUCGUCAUCACUCGCCUCCCUGCCCUGCAUCAGCUGGCCCUUCCCCUCCGACCUUGGCUCCUGUCUCCUCCCUCCAGCCACACAGGUUCCCAGAGUUCCAUGAGCACCAGGAAUGCUUCUGCCACAGGUCCUUUGCACCAGCUGUUCCCACUACUGGACCAGCUUCUUGGCCUUGGCACUAUUGACUCUUUGUCUGGCUAAGUUUUUGUCGUGGGAGCUGUCCUGUGCAUUGUAGGAUGUUUACAGCUUCUCCCUUCUAGAUGCCAGUAGCACCUCCACAUACACACAAUUGUGACGACAAAAAUGUCUCCACAUGUUGGCUAAAGUCCCCUGGGUAAGAGGGAGGAAACACCACUGGCCUGAGAACCACUGGCCUAGAAGAGGUUUCCCUAGAUACCCACUAGAUCUCCUCCCUCCCCUUUUCAUGUCUUUCCUCAAAUCUCUUCUGCUCAAUGAGGCCCACCCUGACCACCUCAUUUAAUCCUGCAUCUGGCCCCGGUCCCAAAUUCCUGGUACCUCAUCUUGCCCUUUUCCUUUUUGCCAUAGCAGUGGUUACUUUCUCACAUCCUACUUGAUUUACUUAUUUCUUACAUUUAUUAUGUGCUUUCUCCCAUUGCAAUGCAAGCUCCCCAAGGGCAGGGGGCCUCAACAGUUUUAAUUACUGAUGUGCCCCAAGUGUCUAGAACUGUGCCUGGC